This 392-nucleotide ribosomal RNA is filed under the name uncultured bacterium. Its description in RNAcentral is "bacterial SSU rRNA". It matches the Rfam family "Bacterial small subunit ribosomal RNA", at positions 30 to 416 of the family's 1533-position model. The record is from RNAcentral.
CGAACGCUGGCGGCGCGCUUAACACAUGCAAGUCGAGCGAGAACCAGGGCUUCGGCCCUGGGGAAAGCGGCGAACGGGUGAGUAACACGUGAGUAACCUGUCCUCGGCACCGGGAUAGCCCGGGGAAACCCGGAUUAAUACCGGAUGGCCUUUCGGGUCUUCGGACUCGUCAGAAAAGGGAGCUUCGGCCUCCGGCCGAGGAGGGACUCGCGGCGGAUUAGCUUGUUGGUGAGGUAACGGCUCACCAAGGCGACGAUCCGAGCUGGUCUGAGAGGACGAUCAGCCACACUGGGACUGAGACACGGCCCAGACUCCUACGGGAGGCAGCAGUGGGGAAUCUCGCGCAAUGGGCGAAAGCCUGACGCAGCGACGCCGCGUGCGGGAAGAAGGCC